Molecule: long non-coding RNA, 272 nt
Organism: Poecilia latipinna (sailfin molly)
Lineage: Eukaryota; Metazoa; Chordata; Actinopteri; Cyprinodontiformes; Poeciliidae
Exons: 2
Source: RefSeq, a predicted model, not a curated record
AAAACUACUGAGAAGGAAAAGGUUUGAUCUGGAGGUCAAAGCAGGGACAGUCCAGGUCCAGGUCCAACCAGAGGACACCACAACCAGCAUCUCCAUUGAAUCGGCUCCUCUGAUGGCCAAUCAAUUAGUCUGAUCAGGUUAUUGAUCUGAUUACUGAUCCAGAGAGGAAGUGGAUCUGGUUCUGAUCUGCAGUUUCUGAAUCAUGAUGUUUCCACUGAGCCUGUUGUUAAUGAUGUGAUAAUAUUACUAUUAGAGUUCAGGAACCAGGAAAA